GUGAAUCAUCGAAUUUUUGAACGCAAAUUGCACUCUCUUCGGAGAGUAAGCGUGUUUGAGGGUCAGCCUAUAAAAAAUCGACCUCGUUGUUGUUUCGCGGUGGCGUUGGUCGGAAAUGGGGUUAUCUUGAAUGUUAUUGGGUUUUAAGAGACUUAAAAUUUUCUUUUUGGUUUCAUGUAAUUUUCU
RNAcentral lists this unclassified non-coding RNA (186 nucleotides) under Glomeraceae sp. Its description in RNAcentral is "partial contains 5.8S ribosomal RNA and internal transcribed spacer 2". The stretch from base 1 to 65 matches the Rfam family "5.8S ribosomal RNA", at positions 84 to 154 of the family's 154-position model. Lineage: Eukaryota; Fungi; Glomeromycota; Glomeromycetes; Glomerales; Glomeraceae. The record is from RNAcentral.